RNAcentral lists this ribosomal RNA (756 nucleotides) under Triticum aestivum (bread wheat). RNAcentral describes it as "partial small subunit ribosomal RNA". The record is from RNAcentral. Lineage: Eukaryota; Viridiplantae; Streptophyta; Magnoliopsida; Poales; Poaceae.
AUGGUGGCAACUAGAGUGAUCAACACGAGGACCGUGCAGGAGGCAUUGGCGGACAACAGGUGGGAGCAAGACAUACAAGGUGAUAUGUCCUUCAUGGCGCAGCUACAACUUAUGCAUCUCAGGCAUGCGGUAGCCACACUCCGGAGAGAUCCCGUGGAGGAGGACAAGUUCACUUGGCCUUGCGCUGGUGAGGAGGGCACUUAUUCAGCUAACGCCACCUACGGCAGGCUCUGUCAAGGUCUGAUCAGAGCUCCGGCAGCCACCGCCAUUUGGAGAAGUUAUGCGCCGUUAAAGCUUAAGAUUUUUGCUUGGCUGGCAUCGCAACAUAGGAUUUGGACUUCGGAUCGGAGAGCUCGACAUGGUUUGCAAGAGCUCCCCUCGCCUUGUUUUACCUGUCUGCAAGAGGAAGACAAUGUGGAGCACCUCCUUGCUUGCUGUGUGUAUGCCCAAGAAGUCUGGUUCACCUGCAUGAACAGGCUGCAGUUGCCAACCACGGCUCCAUCGACGGAGGACACGAUUGUGGAUUGGUGGCUACUGAAGCGCAGAAGCUUUCAUGGCAAGGAGAAGCGAGGUUUCGAUAGUCUGGUCAUAUGCAUGGCGUGGGCGUUGUGGAAGCAACGAAACGCCAGAGUCUUCAACAGAAGAGAGCAGCAAAUGGCGGCUAAAGAUCUAGCUGGCGUUAUCUUAGAGGAGAUUAGAGAGUGGAACUUAGCGGUUAGCAGAGUAGGAGGAUUGCAACGUUUUGUGAGACAUUAG